CCUACGGGAGGCAGCAGUGGGGAAUCUUGCGCAAUGGGCGAAAGCCUGACGCAGCAACGCCGCGUGCGGGAAGAAGGCUUUCGGGCUGUAAACCGCUUUCAGCAGGAACGAAAAUGACGGUACCUGCAGAAGAAGGAGCGGCCAACUAUGUGCCAGCAGCCGCGGUGAUACAUAGGCUUCAAGCGUUGUCCGGAUUUAUUGGGCGUAAAGAGUUCGUAGGCGGUCGAGUAAGUCGGGUGUGAAAAUUCUGGGCUCAACCCAGAGACGCCACCCGAUACUGCUUGACUUGAGUUCGAUAGGGGAGUGGGGAAUUCCUAGUGUAGCGGUGAAAUGCGCAGAUAUUAGGAGGAACACCGGUGGCGAAGGCGCCACUCUGGAUCGAUACUGACGCUGAGGAACGAAAGCAUGGGUAGCAAACAGGAAUUAGAUACCCUGGUAGUCCAUGCCGUAAACGGUGGGCACUAGGUGUGGGUUUCUAUUAACGAAAUCCGCGCCGUCGCUAACGCAUUAAGUGCCCCGCUGGGGAUACGGUCGCAAGACUAAAACUCAAAGGAAUUGACGG
This 562-nucleotide ribosomal RNA is filed under the name uncultured bacterium. Its description in RNAcentral is "bacterial SSU rRNA". It matches the Rfam family "Bacterial small subunit ribosomal RNA", at positions 338 to 916 of the family's 1533-position model. The record is from RNAcentral.